CUUGGUCAUUUAGAGGAAGUAAAAGUCGUAACAAGGUCUCCGUUGGUGAACCAGCGGAGGGAUCAUUACAGAGUUGCAAAACUCCCUAAACCAUUGUGAACGUUACCUUCAAACCGUUGCUUCGGCGGGCGGCCCGGGUCCGCCCGGUGCCCCCUGGCCCCCUAGCGGGGCGCCCGCCGGAGGAAACCCAACUCUUGAUUAUUAUGGCCUCUCUGAGUCUUCUGUACUGAAUAAGUCAAAACUUUCAACAACGGAUCUCUUGGUUCUGGCAUCGAUGAAGAACGCAGCGAAAUGCGAUAAGUAAUGUGAAUUGCAGAAUUCAGUGAAUCAUCGAAUCUUUGAACGCACAUUGCGCCCGCCAGUAUUCUGGCGGGCAUGCCUGUUCGAGCGUCAUUUCAACCAUCAAGCCCCAGGCUUGUGUUGGGGACCUGCGGCUGCCGCAGGCCCUGAAAACCAGUGGCGGGCUCGCUGUCACACCGGGCGUAGUAGAUUUUAUCUCGCUCAGGGCGUGCUGCGGGUUCCGGCCGUUAAAAAGCCUUUUUUACCCAAGGUUGACCUCGGAUCAGGUAGGAAUACCCGCUGAACUUAAGCAUAUCAAUAAGCGGAGGA
RNAcentral lists this ribosomal RNA (609 nucleotides) under uncultured fungus. RNAcentral describes it as "eukaryotic LSU rRNA". The stretch from base 240 to 393 matches the Rfam family "5.8S ribosomal RNA". Lineage: Eukaryota; Fungi. The record is from RNAcentral.